ACAAUGGAGAGUUUGAUCCUGGCUCAGGAUGAACGCUAGCGGCAGGCCUAAUACAUGCAAGUCGAGCGGCAAGUCGAGGAGUAAUCUAAGACCUAGAGCGGCG
This 103-nucleotide ribosomal RNA is filed under the name Algoriphagus sp. Its description in RNAcentral is "partial 16S ribosomal RNA". It matches the Rfam family "Bacterial small subunit ribosomal RNA", at positions 1 to 100 of the family's 1533-position model. The record is from RNAcentral. Lineage: Bacteria; Pseudomonadati; Bacteroidota; Cytophagia; Cytophagales; Cyclobacteriaceae.